Molecule: ribosomal RNA, 253 nt
Filed under: uncultured bacterium
Lineage: Bacteria
Description: partial 16S ribosomal RNA
Rfam family: Bacterial small subunit ribosomal RNA
Source: RNAcentral
UACGUAGGGGGCUAGCGUUGUCCGGAAUCAUUGGGCGUAAAGCGCGUGUAGGCGGCCCGGUAAGUCCGCUGUGAAAGUCGGGGGCUCAACCCUCGAAUGCCGGUGGAUACUGUCGGGCUUGAGUACGGAAGAGGCGAGUGGAAUUCCUGGUGUAGCGGUGAAAUGCGCAGAUAUCAGGAGGAACACCAAUUGCGAAGGCAGCUCGCUGGGACGUAACUGACGCUGAGACGCGAAAGCGUGGGGAGCAAACAGG